GAAGAACUGGCGUUAGUUUGGUUGAUUGGGUCCGUCCUUUCACCUGCUCCAGGAUUUUGGGGCCAAAGAAAUGUCAGGCAAAUUGAAGACGAACUUCGUUUCUGGCUGUCGUGAAUGAUCUGGUGGACAUCUUAAGUUCAUGCAGACACGUGCCUGCCACUACUGUCCGAGAGUUCUUUGCAUCCGUGUUUCAUUGGAACCGAACAGUGACUGGACGAGGCAAGCUAACGCCAAAAAAGCUAACUAGUGUGCUAAGUAGGCUAACAGCAUGGAAAGACUGGAUGAGGUCACAGUGUCGGUUUUAAAGGGUAAUGUAUGCAAAUUUUAUUUUUAAACAGAUUAAAUGGACUUAUGUUUUACAUAGGUGUAUGAACACGGAAGUGUGUAAAUUACAUUAUUUUAUAAAUAAUGU
Long non-coding RNA from Oreochromis niloticus (Nile tilapia), 412 nucleotides. RefSeq lists it as uncharacterized. The record is from RefSeq and is a predicted model, not a curated record. Lineage: Eukaryota; Metazoa; Chordata; Actinopteri; Cichliformes; Cichlidae. The transcript is spliced from 3 exons.